This 529-nucleotide ribosomal RNA is filed under the name Psychrobacter sp. RNAcentral's name for it is "bacterial SSU rRNA". It matches the Rfam family "Bacterial small subunit ribosomal RNA", at positions 70 to 596 of the family's 1533-position model. Lineage: Bacteria; Pseudomonadati; Pseudomonadota; Gammaproteobacteria; Moraxellales; Moraxellaceae. The record is from RNAcentral.
AUGUGUAUCUUGCUACGGUGCGUCUAGCGGCGGACGGGUGAGUAAUACUUAGGAAUCUACCUAGUAGUGGGGGAUAGCUCGGGGAAACUCGAAUUAAUACCGCAUACGACCUACGGGAGAAAGGGGGCAGUUUACUGCUCUCGCUAUUAGAUGAGCCUAAGUCGGAUUAGCUAGAUGGUGGGGUAAAGGCCUACCAUGGCGACGAUCUGUAGCUGGUCUGAGAGGAUGAUCAGCCACACCGGGACUGAGACACGGCCCGGACUCCUACGGGAGGCAGCAGUGGGGAAUAUUGGACAAUGGGGGAAACCCUGAUCCAGCCAUGCCGCGUGUGUGAAGAAGGCCUUUUGGUUGUAAAGCACUUUAAGCAGUGAAGAAGACUCCGUGGUUAAUACCCACGGACGAUGACAUUAGCUGCAGAAUAAGCACCGGCUAACUCUGUGCCAGCAGCCGCGGUAAUACAGAGGGUGCAAGCGUUAAUCGGAAUUACUGUGCGUAAAGGGAGCGUAGGUGGCUCGAUAAGUCAGAUGUG